This 232-nucleotide ribosomal RNA is filed under the name uncultured bacterium. Its description in RNAcentral is "partial 16S ribosomal RNA". It matches the Rfam family "Bacterial small subunit ribosomal RNA", at positions 335 to 578 of the family's 1533-position model. The record is from RNAcentral.
ACUCCUACGGGAGGCAGCAGUGGGGAAUAUUGGACAAUGGGCGCAAAGCCUGAUCCAGCCAUGCCCGCGUGAGUGAUGAAGGCCCCUAGGGGUUUGUAAAAGCUCUUUCAACGGUUGAAGAUAAUGACGGUAGCCGUAGAAGAAGCCCCGGCUAACUUCGUGCCAGCAGCCGCGGUAAUACGAAGGGGCUAGCGUUGUUCGGAAUUACUGGGCGUAAAGCGCACGUAGGCGG